GAAUUAAAGUAGCCAGUGGUACCCAACGGUAAGAAAUUGGUACCCAAAACCCCCCAAAGAAGAAUGGCGACUUCCGCCGUAGACGGUAGUAGUGUUGGUGGAAUUUCGCUACCACUUACCUUGUUGCCUCAUCGACGCACUUGCAAUGUCUGGCGACUCCGAUGAUCUCGCAGUCUCCUCAAUUGGCGGAAAGACAGCCCAAAACUGGCUCAAAUGCCGACAACUUCUAUCUUGUUGCCGCUGAGGUUUUGUCUUGUUUCUCGGAGCAGAACCCAUAAGUGGUGGGAAGUUUCGGUGUCGUUGGCGCGUCUUAGUGCCAUCCGCUGCCUGGAAAAAGAUGCAUUUUGGUGAAUCCGACUCAGGUGCAACAACAAUUUUGGAGAGUCUGAGCAACAUAGUUUGAUACUACUUUGACAACAAGAGAAACAUCUUAAAAGGUA
Molecule: long non-coding RNA, 440 nt
Organism: Solanum pennellii
Lineage: Eukaryota; Viridiplantae; Streptophyta; Magnoliopsida; Solanales; Solanaceae
Exons: 3
Source: RefSeq, a predicted model, not a curated record